Molecule: unclassified non-coding RNA, 387 nt
Filed under: uncultured fungus
Lineage: Eukaryota; Fungi
Description: partial contains 5.8S ribosomal RNA and internal transcribed spacer 2
Rfam family: 5.8S ribosomal RNA (bases 1-133)
Source: RNAcentral
UGGCUCUCGCAUCGAUGAAGAACGCAGCGAAAUGCGAUAAGUAAUGUGAAUUGCAGAAUUCAGUGAAUCAUCGAAUCUUUGAACGCACCUUGCGCUCCUUGGUAUUCCGAGGAGCAUGCCUGUUUGAGUGUCAUUAUAUACUCAACUCGCUUGAUUCUGUAUGGAGUCGCUCGAGUUGGACUUGGAGGUACUGCUGGCCCUCGCGGGUCGGCUCCUCUCAAAUGCAUUAGCUGAGCUUUCAUUGGAUGUAAUGGUGUAAUAAUCAACUUCACCGAUGCAACCCGUGAUCGAGGCUUGCUUCCAAUCGUCGUCUUCGGACGACACCAUAAAAGGCAGUGAUGUCUUUUUGACUCUUUUGACCUCAAAUCAGGUAGGAUUACCCGCUGA